Mytilus trossulus (common blue mussel) is the source of this 525-nucleotide long non-coding RNA. RefSeq lists it as uncharacterized. Lineage: Eukaryota; Metazoa; Mollusca; Bivalvia; Mytilida; Mytilidae. The transcript has 3 exons. The record is from RefSeq and is a predicted model, not a curated record.
UCAGACAGGGGAAACGACUCUAUUACUCUAAUGGAAGCGCCAUCUUGAUGCUAUGUAAUGUCUUUUUCUGUUUACGAAAAGGUUGAUUUAGCGGAUCGUACAUAUCAGAAUGACAAAUUUUGAGUGUUGCAGAUGCUGUUCAGUUUGCAGAGGUAUUUGAAAUGGAAAGAAAGAGAAAUAUGAACAUACAUUGACUUCUUUGAAUAUAAGGUGUAAAAAAGAGUUACACGUGCCAAAAAAUAUGUUGAAAAUUUGAAAACUGUUAACAAGAGCAUCAACGAAUAGAAAAAAGAACAAUACCAGGUCUGGACAUUUGUGGCAGCAUGCAAUUAUUACCAUGAAAAAAAUGUAGCUGCACAGAAGACACCGCAGAUCAUAAAAUUGCAUGUAAAAAGGGAAAGCAUUCCUUUUCAUAGAAUCAAAGAACUCUUUUAACCAAGUCAAGAUGUUAUUAGACAUGUUAUCAUAUAUAUACUAUAUAUAUAUUAGAACAUUUGUAUUUACAAAUAUAAGAAGUAUGUGUGA